UCUAAGAUUCGCAGAGCUGAGAAGUGCGAUUCAUUCUCUGAAGGCCUGAUUUGACCAUGGAAAUAGUUGGAGCGCAAGACAAGAACUUGUAGCUGAGGAAGAGUUCCCAACCAGUGGGGAAAGGUAUCAUUUAUCUUGUUGUUUCCAAGAUUUAACACUUGCAAAUCACGACAGUUCUCCAAGGAUUUAGGAAAUGGCCCAUCAAAAUCAUUGUUGUUGAGGUUAAGUAUCUGUAAGUUGUUUCCUACAACAAACGAAUCAGGGAGUUUCCAUCAAUGGUUGUAAAAAGAGUUAGAAUUCUCUCAAGUUCAAUGUCAAAACCUUUCACUGUGACACGCACGGAAAAAAUGGUAAUAAAGAUUAAAAUCUUCCAUAGAUUUCCUUAGAACAUUGGACAAAUUCAUCAUACCCCUAAAAUUUUUAAAAUAUGUUGUUGGUAAAAAACCAGAGAACUCAUUGUGGGAGAGGUCUAAGAUUCCCAGAGCUGGGAAGUGCGAUUCAUUCUCUGAAGGCCUGAUUUGACCAUGGAAAUAGUUGGAGCGCAAGACAAGAACUUCUAGCCGAGGAAGAGUUCCCAACCAGUGGGGAAAGGUAUCAUUUAUCUUGUUGUUUCCAAGAUUUAACACUUGCAAAUCAUGACAGUUCUCCAGUGAUUUAGGAAGUGGCCAGUCAAAAUCAUUGUUGUUGAGGUUAAGUAUCUGUAAUUUGUUUCCUACAACAAACGAAUCAGGGAUGUUUCCAUGAAAUUUAUUCGUGUGCAAAUCUAGGACUGUAAGAUUAGGGAUCUUACCUCUCGAGAUCAGACAAUCUGGAAUAGCUCCACUCAACUUGUUAUUGGACAAGUCAAGAAUUGAAAUUGACAUCAAAUUACAUAUGGAAGAAGGAAUUUCUCCAAUCAAGUUAUUUUUUGAGGUUAAGAAAACUUCCAGGGAAGAAUUGGAAGAGAAACUAGAUAAUGAGCAAUCAACUUUAAAGUUCAAGGACAAGAGGAGGAAAGAAAGGACCAAAUACCAUUGUAUGAACCCUUUCAUUUUUCUUUUCUCAGAAAUGAUGAAAGAAGCAAAAUGGAAAGCUGAAUGUGAAGGCUGAGAGAGAUAAGAGUGGAGCCAUAUUUAUACACAUGAUUUCAAGCAAACAACCACCAGUCAUGUUCAGACAUUCAAACAACCAAUUUUUUUUUGGGAAGUCAAACAACCAUUUUUAUUAUUGAUAUUUUUUAAAAGAAAAUUAUUUCAUACAUUGUUAAUUUGUAAAUUUCAUCAACUAAAUUAAUUAGAUUGUCACAUACUUCAAUAUUAAAAUAUAUUUAAAAAAUUAAUAAUUUAAUACAAUACAUAAAAAAUAUGUAACAAUAUUUUAACUUUAAGUUAGAAACAUGGGGACUAUUGUUUUUUUGGUAACCCCCACUGGUUCAAUUCAAGUAACCAAAAAACUUAUCUCUCGUAAUUAUUAAUAUCAUAAAUAUUGUUUACGAUAUUUUAUUGUAGCCUUAGAAUUCAAGCCAUCAAAGAAUCAGCGAAGAGUGCAAUAAACUUUUUGUCAGAUAUGAAGUUUUUUAAAAACUUCUUAUGCCAUUAAUCAGAUAUUAAUUUAAAAACAAAAUGAUCUUGAUAAGCUCAACUAGAAAGUCCAUAGUGCUUUCCAAAUUAGAAGCCAUCGUCUACCUCCUCAAGCAUACUCAACAUGCCAACCCCACAUAUCGUGAAACAUGCUGUCCUUCGGACAUAUUUUAAGCUUUAAAAUAGAUACAAAUUUGGCACCUUCAUUGCACUUUGAUUCAAACUGAUAGGUUUGUUUACGAUGUCAGUGACAAACUUAUAUGUAUAUUCUCAAAGCUUCAUGAAUUUGAUUAUUAAAGAAAAAAAAGAUGAUCAUGAUCCAAUAUCUCAAUUUUAUGAAAUCUAAUUUUGAAGAAAGAAAUUUCAAACCCAGUUCUUUAUUUGUUAUCUUCGUCGAAUACUUACCCAAGUGCAAAGGCUUAUCGUUAGUAUUCACAUCUUCCUAGUCAAAUAGUUCAAUUCAAGUCCUCUCUUUUCUCACAUCCAAGGGAAAAUCAAAGAGAAUUUCCGUAGUUUUAACGGAAAAGAAAAGAACAGGAAAGAACAAAGUCAAGUCUUUUUGCAGUGCCUUCCUUCCGUGUUAAAUUAUAGUGUAAUUUACAAUUGAGACCUCCAUUGCUACAAAAUUUAUAGUAUAAUUUAACAUGUAAGUGUUCAACUAGUCAAAAAGCAAAUGAAUAAUAUAUCCAUGAACAUCAUGCUUUCAUAGGAAAACAUUAUAGUCAUGAUUCUUGUGAAGGCACCGUGUUGACUUGGGAAGAAGUUAGAAUUUGUAGCAUUCUGUCCGCAUCAUGGAAUUAAAUCUGGGGUCAUUGCAUGGAUAAUACACAGCAAGAAUUCCAUUUCUCUCAUUUCGGUUGCUUCAGAUUUCACUUCUCUAAAAAAAUCUCAUCAUUUUUUUAUAAUUCCCAAUGUCACAUGCAAGUCAAUCUAAAUUAGCAGAGGUUGAAAAUAUUGUUGCAUUAUAUAUGGCUGGAAUCUAAAUUAGAAAUGUCAAAUCUACCAAUUCCCGAGGUAUCUUGCCAAUAAGCUUGUUCAAUGAGAAAUCUAACCAUUCAAGAUUGGUCAAGUUUCCAAUGGAUGGUGGAAUAUGACCAAAGAAGUUGUUAUGAGAAAGAUUAAACACUAUGAGUGAAUUAAGCUUUCCUAUAACUUCUGGAAUCACGCCCUGGAAGUAGUUAUUGGAGAGAUCAAUGCUUGUGAAUAUGGUUAAAACUUUCACCAAUUCAACCUCUUGUCCUUUUAUUGUCAGAACUACCGAAUAAUCAUAUGACGACUUCCUUCCACAUAUUUUGAAGAACUUCUGCUGUCAGUGAGAUUCGUCAUAGCUUUUAGAUUUUCAAUGUAACAAGUGGGAAAAGGACCAACAAAAUCAUUGUUAGAGAGGUCUAAGACUCGUAGCUUGGGGAAAAGUAGUCUUGCUCUGGAAUUAUUUGCAACACCAUGGAAUUUAUUUGAACUCGAACCAAGCACUUGCAGCAUUGGAAGAGUUUCCAACCAAUUGGGAAAUGUACCCGUGAACUUGUUCUUGCCAAGGUCUAGAACCUAAAGGUUCCUACAAUUGGCCAAAGAUCUUGGUAACAACCCUUCCAUUUGGUUCCCAUGGAAGUUUAGAUUCUCUAAGCUACAGGGUUCCACAAUUGAUUUGGGGAUGGUUCCAUGAAAAUUAUUUGCCCUCAGAUCCUACGCUAAACGAUUUUUACUAAAGUUAAGAAGACAACUAGAAAUCUUGCCACUCAAGUUGUUAUGUGAUACAUCAAUAAUUUUCAGGGAACUGACCAUGCAAAUGAAAGAAGGAAUCUCCCCCGUCAUGUAAUUGUUCGCGAUGGAAAAGAAAGAUAUCUGAACGGGUGGAAUUGGAAGCACUCCUUGAAACAGGUUAGAUUGGAGGUAGAGAAUUACAGCAUUCCUCCAUGUUAAUUGCAAAUGACCUGUUAGAAAAUUAUGAUCAAGGUAUAAAUGUAACAAAGAUUCCUUCCCCACAUUCCACAUCCAUUUGGGAAUCUUGCCUUGAAUUCUAUUUUUGGAAAGGUCUAAAAACUUCAACGCUUUUGAACCUCUCAAGAAAUUGGGGAAUUCACUCAAGUUACAAGACGACAAUGACAAGGACUGGAGUUUGGUCCAUGUGUAGUCGACAUGAUUCUCUGAGCUCAAUGACAGACUAUUAAGAGAAAGAUCGAGUGAUUCAAGAUUUUGGAGCUGGGAAAACAUGUCUAACUCAACAAUGCCACUAAAGUUAUUUAAUGAUAGAUCAAGCACGGUGAGGUUUACAAGUUGAAAGAUUGAGCUUGGAAUAUGACCCUGCAACGUGUUAUUUUUUAAAUAGAUUAUGGACAAAGAUUUUGACCGGAAUUCGCUAAUAUGACCGGUGAGUCUAUUAUUGGCAAGAGACAAUAACUGUAAUGAAGGUAACUUAAACACCCAAGGUGGUAUAGUUGCAUUAAGUAAGUUAGAAGGCAAGAAUAAAGUUACUAAUUUUGAAAACCCAUUUGCAUAAUGAGGAAUAGUGCCCUCUAGUUCAUUGUAUGACAAUUCUAAAUGUUGAAGCUAUGUGAGGUUUGCAAGUGAUGCUGGGAUCCAUCCACUAAACUUAUUAUCCGAGAGCUCUAAGGAAACAAUUUGUGAAAAGUUUACAAGUGAUACCGGGAUUGACCCAUUCAAGUCACAAUUAGCAACAUUUAAAGAUUUCAAUGACUUCAAACCCCUGAUUGAAUCAGACAAUUCUCCAACAAGAAUAGUCUGUUUAAGCCUAAGACUUCAAGGGUAUUAGUCCCAUUGGACUUUGGAAGAUAAACCAGAAGAUCAGGGUUGUUACCUAAUUUGAGCAACUUCAGAUUUGGAAAUUGAAAAAUUAUGUCCGAAAUUGUCCCAUUUAAUCCACAAUCAUCCAGACUAAGAGAUGUCAAAGAGGAAGAAAGGUUCACUAAGUGAACAGGGUCAACUGAACACAUGUCUAUUCCAGGAAGGAAAAGUUCUUUUACCUCGCUAAAGUUCUUAGCUAACCUUUUCAGAGUUGUUGUUUCAAGCUUCAGUGCAUGAAACGGCUCUUGUUCACCGACACCAGGCAGACUGAACCUAGACAGAUCAAGUGAAACUAGCUUGGAAAGAUGUGAGAUUUCGGAUGGAACUUGGCCUGAAAAAAAUGAAGUAGAGAGGUUAAGAUGUGUUAAAUUUGGGAACUGACCAAACCUAGCUGAAAUCUUGGAUUGCCCGAAAUUGUUAAAUGCGAGAUUGAGCCUCUUCAAGUGUUGAAGGAGGAAAAGAGUGCUGUUGGAAGGAAUGGUACCAUAAAGCCAACUGCAACUAAGAUCAAGGCCAAUCACAUGACCUGUAACGCCAUCGCAAGUGACUUCAUCCCAUAAACAGAAAUCUGAAUCUUCCUUCCAUGAGUCUGUCUUAGGAAAAGAAUACGUAGGACUGCCAUAAUUUGAAUUGCAAAGUAACGAAGCAGUAUGAUCAAUAAAGAGGGUCUGCUUGAAGAGAAGCAAAGCCUGACCCUCAUUGUGAGACCAUGAUGGCCUUUGCUUUGAAGAAGUAAAACAAGACGAAAUGUAAGCUUGAGAAUACAAGUAAAAAAAGAGGAAUGAGAUGAAUUGAUAACUCCCAAGAAAACACCUCAUUUUUCCCUACGUCAAAGUUCCUAUAAACUCUUGAUUUGGUUGAUGAGGAGACGCACAGAAGUAUUUAUAAACUCAGUAGCAAGAGCAAUUCUUAAUUUUCUGUUUUCUCAAUCAUAUUUUCCGCUGAAGAGUGACGGAUGAGCUAACACACGCAGAAGACUAACAACAGAUUCUACAUUAUUACAAUAGGGAAGACUCAAAUGAGAAAUGAUGUCAAGUUAUGAAAUCCUGAAAUAAUGGGGGAGGUAGCAACACAGAUUUUCUCGGAAGAUUCAAAUUUCAAUUCCCUCUUUUCACAUUACAAUUCCCUUUCAGGUUGGAUUUGGUUUGGUCACCUCUAAGAAAGCUUGAAUUGCUGCAUAUGGAAAGCAAGCAUGAAAGGGUUUUUCUCGUCAAGUAAUCUACAAUUAUUCCAACUUCCAUGUUUAAAUCUUAUAGGCUUGUUCAAAUUUAAGUACAAAGCUUAUUUUUCUUUCGAUGAGUAUAAAAUCCAAUUUAUUAAUUUGGCUCAAGGUCAAUCAGUUAAUUGGGUUUAAAGCCUCCAAUGCUAAUUGGGUUAAAUGGGUCAGUUGCAUCUCGACUUGACAAGUCCACAUUAAAAAACGAAAAUAAAUACAUAAAAAAUUAAAACAUAAUAAAAUGCAAAAAAUAAAAAACGCUAAUAAAAACAUAAUGAAAAAAACAAAAAAGAGAGAAAAAUGGCAGUUGUUAUACCAAAUAAGAAAUGAAAAUGAAUGAAAGGUUUAAAAUUGCACCCCUUCUUAUAAGAUAUCAAUUCAUAAAAAUUUUCAAGAAAAUGAGAAUUAAUGUUAAAUCUAAAAAAAAGUUCUCAAUAUUUAAGCAAUAAUAGUAAAAGAAAGUUAAAAUAAUUAAAUAUGAAAUUAAAAAUAAUUUGUCAAAGGUUAAAAUAGAAUAACACAUGAUUUACCAAUAUUGUUCUUUAAACAAGUGUCGGUAAUACUUUCAUUAUACGUAAUUGUAUUGUCCAAUUCUAAAACUAUUUCGUAAAUCGGAUUUUAUUUUUUAAAUAAACUUAAAUCAAGUUUAAAAUCUCAUUAGAAAAAAUAAAUUCAAAUAAGUGGUCAAUUACACUUAAAUAAAAAUAAUUAAUAGUGAAUCUUUUUUACCUAAAGCGAUCGGUGCCUAGACUCAUACAAUGCAAUUUAUAUCUAUCACAGUAAAAUCAACACAAAGGACAAAUUGGUCAGCCACUAUUCAAUUAAAUAAUUCUGAAAUUUCCAGGAGACAAUGACUAAUCUAACAAGUGGUAAAUUGAGUUGCCCUUAAACCCACUUGAAAGUGGGAAGCCCAAUCCCAAGUCUUGCAACAAUUUCAUCUUCAAACACAAAUGAUGGAAUUCUGGCAUAACUCAUACAAAUAAAAGAAAAAAUCAAUUAACCUGGGGAAAUCUUCUCGAUGGUAAAAAAUGGGUCAUUUAUUUGUUCUAAUUGCAGGUUCAGUACAUUCUUCAAAUUAAAAAUCUCCAUUUGUCAUGCAACCCAAUGUUAAUGGUAUUCUUUAUUUUCCAUAAAAUUUAAACUUAUCACUCUAUUUAAAUUAAUCACUCAUUGUUCAAUAAGUGUAAUUUUAUCGUAUACUACCAUAUAAUACUUUUUAAUUUGAUUUAUAUAUGAUAAAAAAUUAAAAUAUUUUUCAGAUUAUUCUUUUUUUUCCUCUCGAAAUAUUUUUUUAAUGGUUAACUUUUGAUCUUUUUUUUUUAACUAAAUUAAAAUGUAAAACUGAUAAAAUUAUACUCUUUUAAAAACAAAUGAAAAUUUUGAUUUUUCUCUCCUGGUUUGCAUUUUUUCUAUCUGCUUUCCUUCUACUUAACACAAGCAUGGAAUUGCCUGUGUUGUAACAAGCAGAAUUCUCAAGCAUGACCUGGUUUGUGGAAAUUCAACUCUAUGUUUAAGAAACUCUAUUUUUACAUUCAUCAUCUAUGAUUAACAUGCUUACAAGUUCUUUCUUGUAUAAGCGAGUAAUUUCAUUCAUCAAAGUAUAUGAACAUCCUUCAAGUACAACAAAGCUGUUCACAGAGGACAGUACCUUUAGGAAACAAGAAAGUCAAAACAAACAGGGAGAAAACUGCUAAAACAACCCAAGCAUGAGAACAAAAGACACUUAUUAUACAAAAAUGUAUUCAAGAAAUCUCCAGAGAGCAUCAUCUGUCUUCACAGAGUUCUUCUUCUUCAAUCAUAUCUCUUCAAUCUCCUCAGAAUUUUGUAGCCUACUCUUUGAACCAUCCUAACAAGCCAUUCUGGUUUUCCAAUUGUCAAUAUGAUAUAUCCUGCGGAUAAUCCAAGCACCAAUCCACAUCCAUAACCCAUCAUUACAAAUUUCCAGUCCGAUGGAGAAGAAAAAAUUCCUUCCUCGUGAAAAACAGAUUCUGGUGGCUCUUGUGUGUCUUCCUUGCCACACGUCUUUGACACUGGAAAUCCGCACAAUCCCAAGUUGCCACCAUAGGAAUCAUUCAGAAAGGUAUUGAAUUGAUUUCCCUGAGGUAUAUGUCCAACAAGCUGGUUCUGUGACAGGUUUAACACUCCAAGAAAUUUCAAACCAGUCAACUGCAUAGGAAUCUCCCCGAUAAGCUUGUUGGAGGAGAGAUCCAGUGACUCAAGCGCUGCUAGAUUCCCCAAUGAGGAAGGAAUAUGACCUGUCAGGUUGUUAUGGGAAAAAUUGAGGAUUUGGAGAGAAGAGAGGCUUCCAACUAUUUCUGGAAUUUUUCCUUGGAAUUUGUUGCUCGAAAAAUCAACGGCUGUAAAAACAGUUAGAACUCUCUCAACUUCAAUGUCCAGACCUUUCAUUGUGACAAACAUGGAAAAAUGGUGAUAACCAUUAGGAUUUUCCAUAUAUUUCAUGUCAACAUUGGACAAAUUCAUCAUACCCUUGAAGCUUUUAAAAAAUGCAGUUGGCAAAAAACCAGAGAACUCAUUGUGCGAGAGGUCUAAAAUUCGUAGAACUGAGAAAUUUGAUUCAGCUUCUGAAAGGAGUAUUUGACCAUGGAAAUAGUUGGAGCGUAAGAUAAUAACUUUUAGCUGAGUAAGAGUUCCUAACCAGUGGGGAAAGGUAUCAUUUAUCCUGUUGUUUCCAAGAUUUAACACUUCCAAAUCAUGACAGUUCACCAAGGAUUUAGGAAAUGGCCCAUCAAAAUCAUUGUUCUGGAGAUUAAGUGUCUGUAAUUCAUUUCCAGCCACAAAUGAAUCAGGGAUAUUUCCAUGAAAUUUAUUCAUGUGCAAAUCCAGGAUAUAAAGACCAAGCAUGGUUUCUCCCGAGCAAAGACAUUCUGGAAUAGUUCCACUCAAGUUGUUAUUGGAUAAGUCAAGAAUUGAAAUUGACAUCAAAUUGCAUAUGGCAGAAGGAAUUUCUCCAGUCAAUUUGUUUUUUGAGACUAAAAAAACUUUCGUGGAAGAUGGUGGUACCAGAAGUGGUCCUUCUAGCAGGUUGGAACCAAGGUUAAGAAUCACUAUGUUCUGUGGGUAAUAUUCUAGACCCGUUAAAAAAUUAUUUGAAAGAUCAAGAUAAUUCAAUUUUUUUCCCCAAGUUGUUGUCUGUUUGGAAAUUCGGCCUUCAAUGGUGUUGUUUGAAAGGUCUAGUCGUAGCAAACUCUCUUGAGUUGUCAAAAAAUUUGAAAGUUCAGUUAUAUUGCAAGAAGACAACGACAAAAAACUAAGAUUAGGCAAGACAAGACUAACAUUGCUAUUAUCGCUCAGGGAUAGUGGAAAGUUAUGUGAAAGAUAAAGAAAUUCAAGGCGUUUAAACUUUAAAAACAUAGUUGCCUCGAUGACAUGGAUUUUAUUGUAAGAAAGGUCUAGAUAGACUAAGCCUUCUAGAUUUCUUACAAAAUCCGGAAAUUCACUUAUGUUGCAGGAAGAUAAUUCUAACCACCCAAAAUUGGGCAAGGAAUAAUUCGCAUUGCUUCCACUGGUCAAUGACAGUAAAGCAUUAUUUGAGAGAGAUAGUACCUGAAGCUUGUUAAGCUUUGAGAGUUUGUCCAAUUCGAAGAUGCCAUUCAACUUAUUUGAGGAAAGAUUAAGAUGGAUGAGGUUCACAAGUUUGAAAACAGAGCUUGGAAUUGGACCAUGUAUCUCAUUAUUCUGCAGCUUAACAAUCUCCAAAGGAGCAACCUUCUCAAAUGGGUCAAUAGGGCCAGUUAGCCCGUUAUAACUGAGAUCCAAAUCAACCAAGGUUGGAAGAGUAAACAACCAAUUUGGCACUCUACCAGACAGAAAGUUAUGGUCCAAGUGAAGUCUCAAUAGUCGUGAAAGCCCACUUACGUGAUAGGGAAGGGGACCCAUCAACCUGUUUGUUGAAAAGGACAUAAUUUCAAUUUUUGUGAGGUUGAAUGCUGAAAAUGGAAAAAGACCACUAAGAUCGUUAUUAUCUAAGGACAAGUGAAAAAGUUUGGUGAGGUUCCCAAAACCAUCUGAAAUCUGUCCUACCAAACUAUUAUAGGAAAGGUCUAAAUAUGUGAGCUGCAUGAAGUUAGCAAAUGAAAAUAAAAGUUGGCCAGUAAUUAAGUUCCGUCGCAGGUCUAAAUAGUUUAGUCUAGUGAGGUUGCCAAGAGAUGCAGGAAUUGACCCACUUAAUUGGCAGAAAGAAAGAUCCAAUACCUGGAGAGACCUAAGAUUGCCAAUUGAAUCAGGUACUUCUGCCAGAGAAGAUGAAUAUGAGACUCGUAGCAACUUGAGAGGACCACUCCAAUUAGUCUUUGGGAAGUUGAUUUCCAGGAUAUCAUCAUUACUAAAUAAACUGAACUUCUGGAGGUAUGGCAGGCGCAAAACAUCUUCAGGGAAUUUCCCCCGCAGCCCAUUACUCUCAAGAACAAGAGUCCUUAUGAAAGAAGACAUAUUAAGGAAAGAACUAGGUGCAACUAAAGACAUAUCGAUAGCAGAGAGAUCAAGGUCUCUUAGUUGUGUCAAGUUUCCCAAGAGUUUUUCAAAAACAUGCCCCUCAAAGAUUAAAGGAUUUCCGGAUAUAUCAAGAGAUAAAAGUUUAGAAAGCUGAGAGAUUUCAAGUGGGAUUGUACCUGUAAAUCCUGAGGAACUGAUAUUUAGAUGGGUUAAAUUAGUAAACUGACCAAACUCAAAUGCCAUGCGGGACGGGCCGAAAUAAUUUUCAGCAAGGUUAAGCUUGUGGAGAUGGUGGAGAAGGAAGAGGCUGCUAUUAGAGGGGAUACUGCCUCGAAGGCAGCUGCAACUAAGAUCAAGGCCAAUCACGUUACCUGUUUCAGAAUCACAGUUCACCCCAUCCCAGAAGCAGCAAUUUGUACCCACUUUCCAGGAGAUUGUCUUCCUCUUAUAUUUAUCGCACGAUAAGGAAACAGAGCAAUCGAUGGAAAGGGAAUUCUUGAAUUGGAUUAAGCCAAAGCUCUGGUCAUAAGAACACAACUUAAAUGGAGUAGAAGAAUUGAAAGAGAAACUAGAUAAUGAGCAAUCAACUUGAAAGUUCAAGGACAAAAGGAGGAAACAGAGGACAAAAUACCACUGUAUUAACCUUUUCAUUUUUUUUUUUUCUCUCAGAGAUGACGAAAGUAGAAAAAGGACAAGCUGAAUGUGAAGGUUGAGAGGGAAGCCUGGAGACCAUAUUUAUUGAUUUAUGAUUUCAAGCAAACAAUCACUCAUCAUGUUCACACGUUCAAGCAACUGUUUUCCUUAUUGAUAUUUUUCAAAAGAAACUCAUUUCAUACAUUGUCUAGAUUUCAUCAAUUAAAUUAAUUAGAUUGUCACAUAAUUCAUUAAAAUAUAUGUUAAAAAAUUAAUAAUUUAAUAUGCCGGUCUUCAAAACUCAGAAGACCAAGACUUCGGCCUACCACGUUUCCACUCCGCGUGAGAGAAGGGCCCAAACCAACGACUAACAACAUGACUUUAAUAUCUUCUCCUAAAAGGCGUAAUAGUGAAGGCUGACUAUUGAGGAUGGAGUAGACAGGAAUUGAACGGGUCAUUGAUGCUAAUGCUCUUUCAAAGAGAAUAGUAUGGAGACUCUCUUUCAUCUUCACCAUAAUACUGAAUAUCAAUUUGGUGAAAUCAAUAUAUUAUCCAGGGCAACAAGAGAUUGAAUUUUAUAAGGCAAUAAGGCAUACAGGAGAAGCAACAUUAUCUGCAGCAAGCCAAUAACCCCUCAUAUAGUUCAAAUCAAAUCCCUUUCUUAUACCCUUUUGUAGAUUGGGUAAAAUCUUAAAACCUCUUCAAAACACUUCAAAAAAGGCACUUUAAUCCCUUUUAUUUUAAAAUAAUAUUUUGCAUCUUUGACUGUUAAUAUUAGACCAAAUACUAUAUAAAUAUUUUUUGACAUAAAUAUUCUCUUUUCAAAAAAUCUGCUCAUCAUUCUCCCAAAAAAUUUAAUUAAAAAAAUCUAAAAACUUUUGAUUUGAAGGCUUAGAAAUUUGAAGCUUAAUCUACCUUGAAAACUAUAAACAUCUUUUGAGGUAAACUAUAUUACGGUCACACUCUUUAUUCAUCCAGUAGUUUAAGAAUAUUUUUCAUUAAAAAGAAUGUAUUAAAGCAAAUAUUUUGUUCAAUUAUGGAUAUUUCAAAAUUGAUGGUAUCGGGUUAAGAAAUUAAUUUUUUACUUGGGAUUACUAAUUUUAUUGAAAAAUUUUUGCUCAAAAAUUGUUCUUUGAGGUUAGGGUUUAGAGUGACAUAAAAAGAUUUUGAUUUAAUUACUACAUAUAAAAAGUUUUACGGUUUUUUUUCUUUGUCAAAUAUUAAAUUUUAUAAAAUAUCAAAAUGAUACAAACUACAAUAUUCAUAAAUCCUGUUCUAGAAUUUUAUUAAGUCUUAAGUUUUUUUUUUGUCAAAUAUUGAAUUUUAUUAAAUAUUAAAAUGAAUAAUUUAUCAAGUUAUUGAAAGGAAGAUGAGCAGAAUCUUUUAAGAGUACAUUUGUAUCCUAUAAUAUUUAUACAAAAUUGGGUAUAAUUUUUUUUAAUUGUUGACUAACGAUUUUAACAAUAAAGGGAUCAAAAAUAUCAUUUUGAAACAAAAAAAAUCAAAAUGUCCUUUCAAAAUGUUUUAACGGGCUUUUUGAAUUUUACCCUUUGGAGAUCUUGUUUUCAUUAUGAGAUACUUCAUUGGUCAAAAUUUUCUCUUUGGUUUGGUUAUUAAAUGGAACCAAUUUUGCUUCUUUCUGUUACCAAAACACCCACAACCCUUUCACUCAAUUUUAAAAAUAAAAAUUGGUUGAUUGAUGAAAUUAAUGUAUUUGAUAAUUUUUUUCCCUCAAAUUAAUUUAAACUAUAACGCUCCUGUUAAAAAAUAUAUAGAAAAUACAAAAAUUAAAAAUUGGAUAAAAAGGGGGAAAAGGCCCAAAACCACUUUUAUAGUUUUAUUUAUAUACCAAAACAAAAGGCCUAAUAUGCCUUUGACGUUUUUCUUAAAGUAAAUGACAAAAUCCUUCAAGUGAUCUUUGAUGUCUUACAAUUUGAAGUGAAUCAAAUUUGCAAUUAAAUUUGACUAUUGUGAUCCACUCAUUCAACUGACCAAAAACAUAAUCAGGAUUUCAAGAGUAUUAUUUCUCACAAGCACAUUAGACAGCAUCUGUAGAGUCCAAUUACUUUGCUUCCGUAGCAAGCGGUGUUUUGCGUGAAGAAAAUUAUGGCGUACUCUUUGGGGCCGGGGUCUUUAAAGCUCGUAAGACCGAGACUUUUGCCUGCCACUUUUCCACCACUCCGCUGAAGGCGGGACUCAGACCAAGGACUUACAACAUGACUCUGAUAUGUUCUCCUAAACAGCGUAGUAGUGAAUGCUAACUAUUGAGAAUGGAGCAGACAAGAAUUGGACAGGUCGUUGGCGCUAAUACUCUUUGAAAGAGACUAACAUGGAGAUUCUCUUUCAUCUUCACCAUAAUACUGAAUAUCAAUUUGAUAAAAUCAAUAUGUUAUCCAGGGCAACAAGAGAUUGGAUUUUAUAGGACAUUAUAAGGCAUACAGGAGAACCAAAGACAGUAUAAUACGCAAAUGUAAUCAACAAACCACCGAAGAGCAGCAUCUGUCUUCGCAGAGUUUCUUCUUCCUCAAUGAUAACUCUUCAAUCUCCUCAGAAUUUUGUAGCCUAGUCCUUGAACCAUCCUAACAAGCCAUUCUGGUUUUCCAAUUGUCAGCAUGAUAUAUCCUGUAGAUAAUCCAAGCACCAGUCCACAUCCAUAACCCAUCAUUACAAAUUUCCAAUCCAAUGGACAAGGAAAAAUUCCUUCCUCAUGAAGAGCAGAUUCCGGUGGUUCUUGUUCCUCAUCCUUGCCACACCUCUUUGACACUGGAAAUCCGCACAAUCCCAAGUUGCCACCAUAGGAAUCAUUCAGAAAGGUAUUAAAUUGAUUUCCCUGAGGUAUGAGUCCAACAAGCUGGUUCUGUGACAGGUUUAACACUUCAAGAAAUUUCAAACCAUUUAACUGCAUAGGAAUCUCCCCGACGAGCUUGUUGGUAGAGAGAUCCAGUGACUCAAGUGCUGUUAGCUUCCCCACUGAGGAAGGAAUAUGACCUGUUAGGCUGUUAUGGGAAAAAUUGAGCACUUGGAGAGAAAUGAGGUUUCCAACUAUUUCUGGAAUUUCUCCAUGGAAUUUGUUGCUUGACAUAUCAAUGGUUGUAAAAAGAGUUAGAAUUCUCUCAAGUACCAGGUCCAUACCUUUCAUUGUGACAAGCACGGAAAAAUGGUAAUAACGAUUCAAAUCUUCCAUAGAAGUCCGUUGAACAUUGGACAAAGUCAUCAUACCCCUGAAACUUUUAAAAUAUGUUGUUGGCAAAAGCCCAGAGAACUCAUUGUGGGAGAGGUCUAAGAUUCGCAGAGCUGAGAAGUGCGAUUCAUUUUCUGAAGGGCUUAUUUGACCAUGGAAAUAGUUGGAGCGCAAGACAAGAACUUGCAGCUGAGGAAGAGUUCCCAACCAGUGGGGAAAGGUACCGUUUAUCUUGUUGUUUCCAAGAUUUAACACUUGCAAAUCAUGACAGUUCUCCAAGGAUUUAGGAAACGGCCCAUCAAAAUCAUUGUUGUUGAGGUUAAGUAUCUGUAAUUUGUUUCCUACAACGAACGAAUCAGGGAUGUUUCCAUGAAAUUUAUUCAUGUGCAAAUCUAGGACCGUAAGAUUAGGCAUCUUACCUCUCGAGGCCAGACAAUCUGGAAUAGCUCCGCUCAACUCGUUAUUGGACAAGUCAAGAACUGAAAUUGAUAUCAAAUUACAUAUGGAAUAAGGAAUUUCUCCAACCAACUUGUUUUUUGAGAUUAAGAAAACUUCCAUCGAAGAAUUGGAAGAGAAAUUAGAUAAUGAGCAAUCAACUUUAAAGUUCAAGGACAAGAGGAGGAAACAAAGGACCAAAUACCACUGUAUUAACCCCUUCAUUUUUUUUUCUCAGAAAUGGUGAAAGAAGCAAAAUAGAAAACUGAAUGUGAAGGUUGAGAGAGAUAAGAAUGGAGACCGUAUUUAUACAUAUGAUUUCAAGCAAACAACCACCAGUCAUGUUCACACAUUCAAACAACCAUUUUUAUUACUGAUAUAGACUACAACCCGUGCUUUGCAUACAGACCUCUUUUUAUUUGUUUUUUUCUUUCUCUUUCUACCUCUUUUUUUUUUUUUUCUUCUCUUUUUCCUAUGCCUUUCACGUAGGUAAAGGAGGAAGCCCUAAGUAUGUUAUAAAUUUUUUAAAAGAAAAUUAUUUCAUAUAUUGUUAAUUUGUAAAUUUCAUUAACUAAAUUAAUUAGAUUGUCACAUACUUCAAUAUUAGAAUAUAUUUAAAAAAUUAAUAAUUUAAUAUCAUACAUAAAAAAAUAUGUAACGAUAUUUUAACUUUAAGUUGGAAACAUGGGAUUGUAGUUCUUUUUUUUUCAACCCCCAAUGAUUCAAGUAACCAAAAAACUUAUCGGGAUAUCAAGAGUAUUAUUUCAUAAAACCAAGACUUUCACUUGUCAUGUUUUUACCUUGGUAUGAACGUGGGACUCAAACCAAAGGACUAACAACAUGACUUUUAUGUCUUCUUAAAAAGCAUAAAAUUGAAGGCUAAUCUCUAAGAAUGAAACAGGUAAGAAUUGAACGUGAACGUAUCAUUGAUAUAAAAUAUAAAAAUAUUAUAUAAUUAUAUUAUUAUAUUAUAUCAAUCUAUCAUAUUUAAAGAUAAAGCUCUUUUAAUGGAUCUAAAAAAAUUUUUAAAUUUAUUUUAUAUUAUAUAAAAUUUUUAAUUUUUUUAUAAAUUCUUUUAAUAUCUUUUCUAAAAUAACUUUUAAUUUAAUAAUUAAUGUAAAUAAAAAAUAACAAAAUGAUUCCAUAUGCUUGACUCAAUUUAAAAGUUUUGUUUUAUUUUUUUUCAAUUUAUAUUUUAAUUAUUUAUAUUUACUUUUUUUCAUUUCUAUUAUAUUUAUUCAUAUGUUUUAAAUCUUUAUAAAUUUUCUUCCACAAAUUUCAACGAACAAUCAGUCAUAUUCUUUUUCCUUCUUUUUACUAUGUCAUAUGUGAGUUUAUCUUAUACUUGCCAUGUUUAUAUUUUUUCUAUUAUGUGAAUUUUAUUUUUAUGAUUUUAGUCUUUAAAUAUUAAUAAAUUAUUAUAUAAUUUUCAAAUAUAAGUUGCAAUAUUGUACUAUUGUUUAAAAUUUUAUCAAUAUAUCAUUUUUUAUUCAGAAUAACCGAUACGCUCUAACAUGUAUGUUUCAUACUUUAAGUAACAAGGAUAUAUAUACAAAUUAAUAAAAUUAAAUGAUCGUAUUUCUUUCAAUACAAUUUAUUUAUUAUAUAUAUUUUUAAUGACCCUCAAAAUAAUUUUUUAUUUAAUAAUUAUUUUUAUUCCUCAAAUUAUUUGAUAAUAUUACAGUCAUUAUGGUCAAUAUUUCACUAGUUAAUCCCAACAAAUAAAAUAUUCUAACAUAAUAUGUUAAGCCUAUCAAGUUUUAAAGAAAAAAUAAAUUGACUCUACUAACCUAAACCCAUUAAAUUUUAAUAAAAAUCUAAACAUAUCAUAACAUAUUAUAUCUUAACAGUCCAACCCAAUAGCUUAUCAUAACAUAUUAUAUUUCAAUAGUUCAACUCAAUAACUUAGUAUGUUAAUUAACAAUUUAAGAGGUAAAUAAAAAAUAAAAAAAAAGAGCUUUUUUAAAAAGUUAUUCAUUUUGUAUAAAACACACAAAGUAAAGAGACAUUUGAAUUUGAAAAUUUGUUUUCUCUUCCACUUUUGGGCACAGAGAGUGAAAAAGACUCAUUUCAUAAUUUCAUUCCGUUUAUAUAUAUAUAACGCCAUUAUUACUAUUAAUGUGUAUUUUUUUAUAUAUCCAAUGUUUUAUGAAUUUUAUUUAAUCUUUUAGAUGAGUGAAAAUUAAAUGGUAUAUAAAGUUCUCUGUGACUGUUUAAUGUCUCUUUCUAUUUGAUUCUCUUUAAAAUGCUUUAACUUCGUCAUUGAUCACGUCAUCAUAAUUAUGAUAUAUUAACAUGCUAUGUCAACGUUACGUGAUAUAAAAUGAUAAUUAAUAUUUUGAUUAAAUCAAUCUUUAAUUAUAAUUUUUUUAAGGUUUGGCAGAUGAGAAUUAGGCCACGUCUCUUAACCAUCCAGUUUGCUAAAGGUUGCAAAUUAUUAUAGCCAACUUACCGGUUUAGAUCAUUAUUGGACUCUCCUCAUGUUUCUUCGAAAGUUUUUUUGUUAAAUAGAGACUCUGGUCAAUUGUUAGUAUUGAAUCGCUUUCUUAAUUGAAUUUUUUGAUUAAUUGUCAGUGUUGAAUCACUUUCUUAAUUGAAUUUUACAUAGAAAAUUCAUUCUUUCUUCGAUAUUUCAAAAAAAUAAUCAUAAUUUUUUUUCUUGUUUGAUUAUUAAAUGAAACCAAUUUCUUUUCUAUCUGUCCCCAAAGGUCCCACAACCUUCAUACUCAAUUUUAAAUAUAAAAAUUGAUUGAUUGAUGAAAUUAAUGUAUUUGAUAAUUUUUUCUCUAAUUAAUUUUAAACAGUAACCUUUUUGUUAGAAAAAAUAUAUAGAAAAAAAAAAGAAUGGAUGAAAAAAGAAGAAAAGGCCCAAAACAUCUUUCACCACCAAAAAGCCCAAAACCACUUUCAAUCAAACAACGUUAAAGUCCAGAAACACAAGUAAUGACACGAGUUCGGCUUAAGGUUUAUCCAAAACGACAUACAGUUUUCAUAUCUCUGUCUCCAUUGAUCGUGAAACAAUGGAGGGACGGAUAAAAUACCCUAAAAUUCAAAGAGUAGACUACCAGUCCAAAUUCUUCUCUUAGGUAUUUUUAAUUUUUUUCUUCUCUUGUUAAAAUGUGUUUGGUUGCCUAGAAAACAAAGGAAAAGGAACUAGAAAGCUUGUAAUUCUGUUUCUUUUAUGUUUUUCUAUUUGGCUUUUUGAUAAAACAUUUGGGUUUUGCUAGAAUUGUUAAAUAAAUAAAUAACAUUAACGGAGAUAACUAUGAUAAAGAGAACGAAUUUUUUUUUUUACUGUUGACAAAUGGUGUUAAUAAUAAAAAAAACUAAAAUAUCAUUUUGAAACAAGAAAAAUUAAAGUGUCUUUUCAAAAUGUUUUAACGGGUUUUUUGAGUUUUACCCUUUGGAGAUCUUGAUUUUGUUACGAGAUACUUCAUUGAUCAAAAUUUUCUCUUUUGCUUGGUUAUUAAAUGGAGCCAAUUUCUCUUCUUUCUGUUACCAAAACAACCACAGCCCUUUCACUCAAUUUUAAAGAUACAAAUUGAUUGAUUGAUGAAAUUAAUGUGCUUGAUAAUUUUUUUUUCCUCAAAUUAAUUUAAACUGUAACGCUUCUGUUAAAAAAUAUAUAAAAGAUUACAAAAAUAAAAAAUUGGAUAAAAAGGGGGAAAAGGCCCAAAAUCCCUUUUAUAGUUUUAUUUAUAUACCAAAACAAAAGGCCUAAUAUGCCUCUGACGAUUUUCUUAAAGUAAAUGACAAAAUCCUUUAAGUGAUCUUUGAUGUCUUACAAUUUGAAGUGAAUCAAAUUUGCAAUUGAAUUUGACUAUUGUGAUCCGCUCAUUCAAGUAACCAAAAAACUUAAUCAGGAUUUUAAGAGUACUAUUUCUCACAAGCACAUUAGACAGCAUCUGUAGAAUCCAAUUACUUUGCGUCUGUAGCAAGCAGUGUUUUGCGUGAAGAAAAUUAUGGCGUACUCUUUGGGGCCGGGGUCCUCAAAGCUCAUAAGACCAAGACCUUUGCCUACCACUUUUCCACCCCUGCGUGAAGGUGGGACUUAAACCAAGGACUUACAACAUGACUUUGGCCUGCCACUUUUCCACCCCUGCGUGACAGUGGGACUCAAACCAAAGCACUAACAGCAUGACUCUGAAAUGUUCUCCUAAACAGCGUAGUAGUGGAGGCUAACUAUUGAGAAUGGAGCUGACAAGAAUUGGACAGGUCGUUGAUGCUAAUACUCUUUGAAUGAGAAUAAUAUGGAGAUUCUCUUUCAUCUUCACCAAAAUACUGAAUAUCAAUUUGAUAAAAUCAAUGUGUUAUCCAGGGCAACAAGAGAUUGGAUUUUAUAGGGCAUUAUAAGGCAUACAGGAGAACAAAAGACAGUUAUAAUACGCAAAUGUAUUCAACAAACCAACGAAGAGCAGCAUCUGUCUUCGCAGAGUUUCUUCUUCCUCAAUUAUAACUCUUCAAUCUCCUCAGAAUUUUGUAGCCUAGUCUUUGAACCAUCCUAACUAGCCAUUCUGGUUUUCCAAUUGUCAGCAUGAUAUACCCUGUAGAUAAUCCAAGCACCAGUCCACAUCCAUAACCCAUCAUUACAAAUUUCCAAUCCAAUGGACAAGAAUAAAUUCCUUCCUCAUGGAAAGCAGAUUCCGGUGGUUCUUGUUCCUCAUCCUUGCCACAGCUCUUUGACACUGGAAAUCCGCACAAUCCCAAGUUGCCACGAUAGGAAUCAUUCAGAAAGGUAUUAAAUUGAUUUCCCUGAGGUAUGAGUCCAACAAGCUGGUUCUGUGACAGGUUUAACACUUCAAGAAAUAUCAAACCAAUCAACUGCAUAGGAAUCUGCCCAACAAGCUUGUUGGUAGAAAGAUCCAGUGACUCAAGUGCUGUUAGAUUUCCCAGUGAGGAAGGAAUAUGACCUGUUAGGCUGUUAUGGGAAAAAUUGAGCACUUGGAGAGAAACGAGGUCUCCAACUAUUUCUGGAAUUUUUCCUUGGAAUUUAUUGCUUGACAUAUCAAUGGUUGUAAAAAGAGUUAGAAUUCUCUCAAGUUCAAUGUCCAAACCUUUCACUGUGACACGCACGGAAAAAUGGUAAUAAAAAUUAAAAUCUUCCAUAGAUUUCGUUUGAACAUUGGACAAAUUCAUCAUACCCUCGAAACUUUUAAAAUAUGUUGUUGGUAGAAAACCAGAGAACUCAUUGUGGGAGACGUCUAAGAUUCGCAGAGCUGAGAAGUGCGAUUCAUGCUCUGAAGGGCUGAUUUGACCAUGGAAAUAGUUGGAGCGCAAGACAAGAACUUGUAGCGGAGGAAGAGUUCCCAACCAGUGGGGAAAGGUAUCAUUUAUCUUGUUGUUUCCAAGAUUCAACACUUGCAAGUCAUGACAGUUCUGCAAGGAUUUAGGAAAUGGCCCAUCAAAAUCAUUGUUGUUGAGGUUAAGUAUCUGUAAUUUGUUUCCUACAACGAACGAAUCAGGAAUGUUUCCAUGAAAUUUAUUCAUGUGCAAAUCUAGGACUGUAAGAUUAGGCAUCUUACCUCUCGAGGCCAGACAACCUGGAAUAGUUCCACUCAACUUGUUA
This 19844-nucleotide long non-coding RNA is filed under the name Theobroma cacao (cacao). RNAcentral's name for it is "long non-coding RNA (TCAC_LNC004301)". The record is from RNAcentral. Lineage: Eukaryota; Viridiplantae; Streptophyta; Magnoliopsida; Malvales; Malvaceae.